AGUGAACGCUGGCGGCGUGCCUAAUACAUGCAAGUCGACGACUAUGGCGCACGGGUGAGUAAUGUAUAGCUAAUCUGCCCUACACUAGAGGACAACAGUUGGAAACGACUGCUAAUACUCUAUAGUGUAGGAUGAAGCUAUAUUGUAUUAGCUAGUUGGUGAGGUAAUGGCUCACAAAGGAAAUGACGCAUAACUGGUCUGAGAGGAUGAUCAGUCACCCUGGAACUGAGACACGGCCCAGACUCCUACGGGAGGCAGCAGUGGGGAAUCUUCGGCAAUGGGCGCAAGUCUGACCCAGCAAUGCCGCGUGAGUGAAGAAGGUUUUCGGAUCGUAAAACACUUUUGUUAGAGAAGCGGUAUCUAACCAGAAAGCCACGGCUAACUACGUGCCAGCAGCCGCGGUAAUAC
Molecule: ribosomal RNA, 408 nt
Filed under: uncultured bacterium
Lineage: Bacteria
Description: partial 16S ribosomal RNA
Rfam family: Bacterial small subunit ribosomal RNA
Source: RNAcentral